GACGAACGCUGGCGGCGUGCCUAAUACAUGCAAGUCGAACGCUUCGAUUCAGCCGAGUGCUUGCACUCAAUUGAAAAGAAGAGUGGCGGACGGGUGAGUAACACGUGGGUAACCUGCCCAUCAGAGGGGGAUAACACUUGGAAACAGGUGCUAAUACCGCAUAAAAGGCUGUACCGCAUGGUACAGGAGUGAAAGACGCUUUCGGGUGUCGCUGAUGGAUGGACCCGCGGUGCAUUAGCUAGUUGGUGAGGUAACGGCUCACCAAGGCCACGAUGCAUAGCCGACCUGAGAGGGUGAUCGGCCACACUGGGACUGAGACACGGCCCAGACUCCUACGGGAGGCAGCAGUAGGGAAUCUUCGGCAAUGGACGAAAGUCUGACCGAGCAACGCCGCGUGAGUGAAGAAGGUUUUCGGAUCGUAAAACUCUGUUGUUAGAGAAGAAUAAGGAUGAGAGUAACUGUUCAUCCCGUGACGGUAUCUAACCAGAAAGCCACGGCUAACUACGUGCCAGCCGCCGCGGUAA
Molecule: ribosomal RNA, 524 nt
Filed under: uncultured bacterium
Lineage: Bacteria
Description: partial 16S ribosomal RNA
Rfam family: Bacterial small subunit ribosomal RNA
Source: RNAcentral